CUCUGUGAAAUGAAAUAUCAAAUUAUACGACGAGCACAAAGAGGAAUACGAAAAAAACAAUUACAUUUGACUUCGCCGCCCGCCAAUUUAAAUUGUCUGUCCGACAAAAUUUAAGGUUUUUGAAAGAUAAUGAGUUCAACAAGCCAAUGUGCAGCAAAGAGGAGCCGCGCUUCAGGCGAGCAAAUUGAAAGGCUGCUGGACUACUUGUCGGAGUGCCCGGGACUAGCAGCAGGCAAAUUCCAAAAGAUGCACGGUAAGUCUGAGAGCGACAGGAAGUGGAGUGAGCUGGAGGCAAGUCUAAAUACCAUCGGCGGAGCUGUGAAGACUGUCGAACAAUGGCAAACAGUGUGGCGCGGUCUGAAAAGCCGUACAAGUGUCAGGGUACGGGACAUGAAGAGGCAGCAAGCGUUAACCGGCAACCGGCCGGUUAAUCAGCAGCCCAUAACAGAGGUUGAGAGGCGAGUUAUGGCGCUCAUCGGCAGCGAGUACAUUGAGGGCAAUGGAAGAGUUGUCAAAAAUGUGCCUGUGGAAGAGGAUGGAGACGAUAGUGUUACCUCCGUACUACCGACUACCACAGCAGCUGACGAUGGCGAGGUGAUGUGUGCGACACCCCGUAUUCCUGCUAAAAGGACUCCGCGUAGGAGUCUAAAAAGGAAGCGAGAAGAUGAGGAGAAGGAGAUGCAGGCCAAGUUCCUGGAAGUGUCCAGCAAGCAAGCAGAUGCUUGAAAGGUGUGGCGCGAUCUGAAAAGCCGUACAAGUGUCAGGGUACGGGACAGGAAGAGGCAGCAAGCGUUAACCGGCAACCGGCCGGUUAAUCAAGAGCCCAUAACAGAGGUUGAGAGGCGAGUUAUGGCGCUCAUCGGCAGCGAGUACAUUGAGGGCAAUGGAAGAGUUGUCGAAAAUGUGCCUGUGGAAGAGGUAAUAUGGAGUCAGGUGAUAUUUUGAUUCCUCAUUUCUAAAGCUUUUUAUAUUCCUCAAUCGAAUUUGCAAUUGCAUUUGGAGGAUGGAGACGAUAGUGUUACCUCCGUACUACCGACUACCACAGCAGCUGACGAUGGCGAGGUGAUGUGUGCGACACCCCGUAUUCCUGCUAAAAGGACUCCGCGUAGGAGUCUAAAAAGGAAGCGAGAAGAUGAGGAGAAGGAGAUGCAGGCCAAGUUCCUGGAAGUGUCCAGCAAGCAAGCAGAUGCUUGAAAGCUGCUAGCUGAAUGUAGUGCCGCCAAUACAGAAACCAACAAAUUGAUGGUUGAGGCGUUUAACAGAUUGGUGGACGUCAUUAGCUCCUGGACUUAAUAUUUUUAUAGAUAUUUUUAAUUUAAGCUACAUAAGCAUUAACUAUUUUAACUUAUCACAGCGCGAGUGACGAAAGCAGCCACAGUAGCAUGCUGAAAUGACUCGCUUAUAUAUACACGAGA
Rhagoletis zephyria (snowberry fruit fly) is the source of this 1415-nucleotide RNA transcript. RefSeq lists it as uncharacterized. Lineage: Eukaryota; Metazoa; Arthropoda; Insecta; Diptera; Tephritidae. The record is from RefSeq and is a predicted model, not a curated record.